Long non-coding RNA from Lotus japonicus, 846 nucleotides. RefSeq lists it as uncharacterized. The transcript has 2 exons. Lineage: Eukaryota; Viridiplantae; Streptophyta; Magnoliopsida; Fabales; Fabaceae. The record is from RefSeq and is a predicted model, not a curated record.
AGCACAUUUGGUCCCCCACGAUUGAGCUUCGUGCAAAAUGAGUCCCUAAACUAUUUUUUUAGCAUUAUUAGUCCCUCACGUUAUCUCCUGUUACUACACUUAGUCCUUCUGUUAGAUUUUAAACGGUUUUUGCUUUGGUGGAGUUUUUUUAAUGACUUGGAGGAGAGAGAAGAAAGUUAACAGGAGAGAGAAGUAGGACAUUAGGAGAGAGAGUUGCACAUGUUGAGUGCUGACUCUUCAAUUUUUUUAAAAAUCUCAAUUAAUAUUUUUUUCAAUUAGUAAAAAUCUCCCAAUUAAAAUUCUCAAAUCACGUUCAAUUUUUUUUCUUUCUCAAAUCCUCAUCUGGCUUCUUCAUCUUCAUAGGUUAAAUGUUCUUCAUCUUCACCAUCCUCAAAUCACCUUAGCCGAACCAGCAGACAAACCCCACCAACCCACUGCUCUCGAGCUUCACGGCAAGAAAUUCUGCAGCCAUCGCGCGUUCUACCUCGGCCAGCCAUCGGGGUUUGGAUGCUUGCUGUCUUGUUUUGAGCUCCAUGACGAUGAAUUGCUGUUAUGGCUUUUGGUGACAAACUCACUUGGCAUCAUCUCUCUUGUUAGAGGGAGAGUUUGGGAGUUUGUGUUGCCCUUCAUCUGGUUUAUUGCCAGUUUUUUUUCCUUUCUUUUUUGCUGUUUUGUUUCCUUGUCUUUCUUGCGUCUUCUGUCUCAUUGUUCUGAGCAUGAGUUUCACAAAUUGGGGGUUGUGAUUUGGGAUGAGGAAACCCUAGAUUUGGUUCUCAGCAUGAGUUUCUGAGCAUUGAUUUUAAGGUUUUUGGUAAAUUAAAUAGAAGAAGGGGUUGUGUUGAUGAA